CUACACUCAGAAGUCCAGGAAAUUUGGUGUGGGUAAUGGAACAUGGACAGUAGACCACUCAUCUCCCUUUGGACGGACCAGUGACACAAGUAACUUUGGGAAUACCAACGCUAUGUCCUUUGUGGAAACAGUCUAAGUUAAGGGAAUCAGGGACUAGGAGAAAGAGAGAAAUUGAUGAUGAUUUGAAUUUAUUAGGAGAUGAAGAUCAAUGGCAUGAACCAGACAGCGGGGUGAAGUUUGGAUGGGCAUUGGAAUCUUUGUUUGCACCAAUAGCUACAUAUAGAAAUAGAGAAAUGUUGUUUAAGCUACUGGGACAAACAGAGAGACUGGCAGUAGCAACUAGAAAAGGGUUCACUGAUUUGAACUUACAGUUGCAGGCUACUUCCCGUAUGACUCUCCAAAAUAGAAUGGCUCUAGAUAUGUUGUUAUUGAAGGAGCAUGGAGUCUGUGGGUAUUUAAACAAAAGAAUUGACCACUGUUGCAUCCAUAUCCCAAAUGUAACAAUCGAGGUAGAGAAGGAUAUCUCCCAACUAGAAAUAGUGGAAUCUGGAACAAAGGAAAUUGAAAAGGAGGCCCAGCACAAUUGGAUAGGAGCCUUGUUAGACUCAAUGGGGCUUCAGGUUUCUGGUUGGAUAUCGUCAAUACUGCAAUAUAUAUUGUUGUUUGUGAUUGUACUAAUUGUUGCUUGGAUAGCAUAUAAGUGUGUUUUAGGAAUAAUAACCAAGGAAACAAGACGAACCCGAAGAUUGGUAAAAGCUAUAGGAAGAAACUACGGAUUGGGAAUUCCCCCGCCUAAAUACGAAGAGGUGGCCCUUCCUGCCCUUCCUAGAAGAACCGAAGCUGAAGGUUGAGCAUCCUUGCAGAAGAUCUGAAGAAUGCUCAAAAGGGGGGACUUGUUGCAGAAAUGAUUGAAAAUUAUAUUCUAGUUAACAGAUGCCUAGAUUAGUGAAACAAUAUAAAGUUAGCAUAAGUAGCAGUAGUUAUGCUAAGGCCUCAUAGGCCCGGUAAACUUCAAGUGAACUUUAGUGCUUUAGUGCCAGGUAGAUCGGAAGAUGUAUUAUCUAGAAAAUGUACUAAACCUUAUCUAUGGAAUGCACCUUUUGGCUGAGUAACGGAUGUCAGGGUGUACCUAAUAAAUCUCUGUAUGCUAUCUCUAAAAGUGUGCAGGGAGAUGUUGGAUAUAUAAACCCUGUAAAUUCUGUGGCAAAUUGGGGCUCUGACUUUGGACAAUAGUCCUCAGGUCCCCAGGGCCCUCAAUAAAGCACCGCAUAAAACAA
Molecule: long non-coding RNA, 1277 nt
Organism: Haemorhous mexicanus (house finch)
Lineage: Eukaryota; Metazoa; Chordata; Aves; Passeriformes; Fringillidae
Exons: 2
Source: RefSeq, a predicted model, not a curated record